AUAUUUUGUUUAAUUUUUUGAAUUAUUAAAAAUCUAUUUUUUUCAGCAUCGAUGAAAUGUCAUCAGAGGAGAGAUAUGCCAUAUUCUAAUAUAAUGAAAACAAAAAUAAAUAAACAAAAAGAAAAAGAAACACUAAAGGACUACCAGGACGUUCGUCGAGCUAUUUCACAGUUUCGUUUAUUGCGACUCUCGCGAUUAUUGCGCCAUCGAUCGGGAGAAUACGGUAAACUCGCGAUUGGCGAGUCGUGAUAAUUACGAAGGAUACGUUUCAGGAAAAAAAAGGGUUGAGUGUGGUUAAGCUCUGGUGAAUGUCGAUGAGUUUUUCGAGAGUUUUGGAGAGAUGAAAUAUUCGAGUGCUUUCCGGAAUUAAGCGCGCUUUCUUUGCGGUCGAUUACAAAGUGUCGAAGUUAGAUAUUCACAAAUUUAUAUUUCAGAAAAAGGGGAAAAGAAAGAAACGCGAGUGUCACGCUUCUCGGAGAGAGUACACUUCCCCCUAAACACAUAGAAAGAUACUCUUGUUCCGCGCCAGGUCAACGACACUUUAACUGAUCUCAAUUCCGUAUAACCGAGAGCUAAUUGUAUCAAAGUGGAAAGGAGGAAACGGCAAAGUGGAAAACGUUUCCACGUAACUCGAUCAACGUCAAGGUGUCCACCCAUGUUACCACGUCUACGACCAGUCUGACCACUUAUCGACAUCUGUAAAUGCACCUUGAACGGGUCCAACGACGACUUUAUCCAUCGUUGUUGAUUCACCGCCAGUUAUCGAUAAAUUAACGCGGCGUAAACUUGACGCCUUAUCGCGCGUUUGGCCACGCCUCUCUCCCUUUCUGUACCGAAAACGGGAGAUCGUGGGAUGGACGUGUGUUGCAAUGCCGAUAACGAUAACGAUGCAUCGCCGACCAUGGUUUGCGGGAAACGAUCGCCCACAGUUUUCGUUUACAAAAUCCAUCGAACACAUCGAAGUAACAUCGAGGUAAACGUUGGCAGAGCCAUCGAUACGAAAGAUGAUUCGGAUGCGGUGCACAGAAGAAACGCUGGCGCUGAAGUUCCGGGUGAAAUGAACGCUUUGCAUGCGCGGUAUCGAGCCUUCCCCAUAAAGCUUAAUUGCGAUUGAAGGUCUUCGGCAUAACCCGGACAUGGAUUAAGGUGCAACCAUAGAAGCAUACACGUUACAAAGUGCCGGUUACCGGUUUCAAGCGUUUAUUAAUGCAAUAACGAUAAACUUGCACCAUAAUUCGCCUCAUUUCAUUUUAAUCUUAAGUCUAGCGUUCUACAUUAUCAUUCGAGAACACGUAGAAGCAAAGGGUCCUUUAAAACGCGAUCCCAUCGAAAUAAAGCGUUUCAAAUACGAUUGUUAUAUAAUUAAUGUAAUAUUACAUAACAAUCAAAUUACACAAUAUAUAAUAUUACAAUACAAUACAAUAAUGUAAAUAAUUUUAACCUUACCUCAAAUACAUUGAUAAAUUAAUUUUGAUCUUGAAUUUCAAAAAUUUUUUUAUUAUAUUUCAUUCGAUCUGCAGAAUCGAUCUUCGAAAAACGACUCUAUCGAAAUAUUUUUUUUCAAAAGAUUCGAUCGUCAAGAUUUGACUUUUAAAACUGCAAAAAUAUCCCGUUAACCUUUCAGAUUAUUAAAUUCCUUCGUCGACGAGGAAACUUAAUGUCCCUCGAGUUAUCUCGUUGAAUCACGAGUCAAGCUCACUUUGAACGCGAGGGAAGAUGCACAAAGGUGCCGAAACCGUUUUUUUCCCACCCUCUGGCGAAUGAGUUUAGAAAGGGUUAACGCGCUCCUGGCCAUUCGAGUAUAUAGGGUGGAAGGAACCACAAUUUCGCCAACAAUGCGGGUUAGCUUCAUCGGCGCGUCACUAUAUGAAGAUUCUUUAGGGGGGGAGGAGCGUUUAGAAGGAGACGUUUGAAUUACUGGCUAUGUAAUCGCGCUAAAAUAUGGCGGACGGAGAAGUGUAUUAGGAGAUGAUAAUGAUUGAUGAUAAUUCAAUCUUAUCAUCGAAUAAUUUCCAUAACGUAGUCGUAUUUUAUUUUAUUUUUCGAUCUUUGAAUUUAAUUUAAUUAAUUUUACGAUCGAACAGUUUCUUCUGAAUUUAAGUGAAAUUAUCAUACGUUUUGAAUCGCAAGAAACAAUAUUUCGUUAUAUUUUAUAUUUUUAAAAAUUUUUAAGUAUUGUUUUAGUGA
Molecule: long non-coding RNA, 2187 nt
Filed under: Apis mellifera (honey bee)
Lineage: Eukaryota; Metazoa; Arthropoda; Insecta; Hymenoptera; Apidae
Description: uncharacterized LOC102654870, transcript variant X1
Source: RNAcentral